This 550-nucleotide ribosomal RNA is filed under the name uncultured bacterium. RNAcentral describes it as "partial 16S ribosomal RNA". It matches the Rfam family "Bacterial small subunit ribosomal RNA", at positions 355 to 899 of the family's 1533-position model. The record is from RNAcentral.
UGGGGAAUUUUGGACAAUGGGCGAAAGCCUGAUCCAGCAAUGCCGCGUGUGUGAAGAAGGCCUUCGGGUUGUAAAGCACUUUUGUCCGGAAAGAAAUCCUUGGCUCUAAUACAGUCGGGGGAUGACGGUACCGGAAGAAUAAGCACCGGCUAACUACGUGCCAGCAGCCGCGGUAAUACGUAGGGUGCAAGCGUUAAUCGGAAUUACUGGGCGUAAAGCGUGCGCAGGCGGUUUGCUAAGACCGAUGUGAAAUCCCCGGGCUUAACCUGGGAACUGCAUUUGUGACUGGCGGGCUAGAGUUUGGCAGAGGGGGUAGAAUUCCACGUGUAGCAGUGAAAUGCGUAGAGAUGUGGAGGAAUACCGAUGGCGAAGGCAGCCCCCUGGGCCAAUACUGACGCUCAUGCACGAAAGCGUGGGGAGCAAACAGGAUUAGAUACCCUGGUAGUCCACGCCCUAAACGAUGUCAACUAGUUGUCGGGUCUUCAUUGACUUGGUAACGUAGCUAACGCGUGAAGUUGACCGCCUGGGGAGUACGGUCGCAAGAUUAAAA